This 253-nucleotide ribosomal RNA is filed under the name uncultured bacterium. RNAcentral's name for it is "partial 16S ribosomal RNA". It matches the Rfam family "Bacterial small subunit ribosomal RNA", at positions 524 to 776 of the family's 1533-position model. The record is from RNAcentral.
UACGAAGGGGGCUAGCGUUGCUCGGAAUCACUGGGCGUAAAGGGUGCGUAGGCGGGUCUUUAAGUCCGGGGUGAAAUCCUGGAGCUCAACUCCAGAACUGCCUUUGAUACUGAAGAUCUUGAGUUCGGGAGGGGUGAAUGGAACUGCGAGUGUAGAGGUGAAAUUCGUAGAUAUUCGCAAGAACACCAGUGGCGAAGGCGGCUCACUGGCCCGAUACUGACGCUGAGGCACGAAAGCGUGGGGAGCAAACAGG